Dicentrarchus labrax (European seabass) is the source of this 300-nucleotide long non-coding RNA. RefSeq lists it as uncharacterized. The record is from RefSeq and is a predicted model, not a curated record. Lineage: Eukaryota; Metazoa; Chordata; Actinopteri; Moronidae. The transcript has 4 exons.
CGGACGGCUACAGAGAUACAGAAAAGUUACUCAACACUCAGGCAGCCAUCGCAGACUUAAUCAAGUCUUGGAUUGCAGGCACUGACGGGAAGAAGCGAUGAUCUUUGCUGCCACCUUGUGACCAAACAUAGUAACGUUCAACCUCCACUGCACAAAACAAGGGGCAAAUGGAGACAAAGGACGGAAGAAAGAGGAUUCCACCAGAAGAAAUUGACGCUUUGGGUCAAGGUCUGCAGAAGCUGAACGUUUCAGAGACCCAAGAAGAACAAAUACUGCAGAGCUCAGGAGGAAAUGCCAGUG